AGAAUCAACGCUGGCGGCGUGCCUAACACAUGCAAGUCGAACGAGAAAGUGGAGCAAUCCAUGAGUAAAGUGGCGACCGGGUGAGUAACACGUGACUAACCUACCUUCGAGUGGGGGAUAACCUAGGGAAACCUGGGCUAAUACCGCAUAACAUCUUUGGAUCGGAAGAACUGGAGAUCAAAGGGGCAAUUCGCUUGAAGAGGGGGUCGCGGCUGAUUAGCUAGUUGGCGGGUAAUGGCCCACCAAGGCUUUGAUCGGUAGCCGGCCUGAGAGGGCGCACGGCCACGACUGGAACUGAAACACGGUCCAGACUCCUACGGAGGCAGCAGUGGGAAUUUUGCGCAAUGGGGGAAACCCUGACGCAGCAACGCCGCGUGGAGGAUGAAGUCCUUGGGACGUAAACUCCUUUCGACCGGUACGAUUAUGACGGUACCGGUGGAAGAAGCCCCGGCUAACUUCGUGCCAGCAGCCGC
RNAcentral lists this ribosomal RNA (473 nucleotides) under uncultured bacterium. Its description in RNAcentral is "SSU rRNA". It matches the Rfam family "Bacterial small subunit ribosomal RNA", at positions 26 to 518 of the family's 1533-position model. The record is from RNAcentral.